GAUGAACGCUGGCUACGGGCUUAACACAUGCAAGUCGAGGGGAAACGACGGGGAAGCUUGCUUCCCCGGGCGUCGACCGGCGCACGGGUGAGUAACGCGUAUCCAACCUGCCUCUGACUGAGGGAUAACCCGUCGAAAGUCGGCCUAAUACCUCAUGGUAUCGUCUGCGGGCAUCCAACGACGAUUAAAGAUUUCAUCGGUCAGGGAUGGGGAUGCGUCUGAUUAGAUUGUUGGCGGGGUAACGGCCCACCAAGGCUACGAUCAGUAGGGGUUCUGAGAGGAAGGUCCCCCACAUUGGAACUGAGACACGGUCCAAACUCCUACGGGAGGCAGCAGUGAGGAAUAUUGGGCAAUGGGCGAGAGCCUGAACCAGCCAAGUAGCGUGCAGGAAGACGGCCCUAUGGGUUGUAAACUGCUUUUAUGCGGGGAUAAAGUGAGGGACGGGUCCCUCAUUGCAGGUACCGCAUGAAUAAGGACCGGCUAAUUCCGUG
Molecule: ribosomal RNA, 491 nt
Filed under: uncultured bacterium
Lineage: Bacteria
Description: partial 16S ribosomal RNA
Rfam family: Bacterial small subunit ribosomal RNA
Source: RNAcentral